Molecule: long non-coding RNA, 1763 nt
Organism: Podarcis muralis (Common wall lizard)
Lineage: Eukaryota; Metazoa; Chordata; Lepidosauria; Squamata; Lacertidae
Source: RefSeq, a predicted model, not a curated record
GCCCGGUUUUUUUGUUUGCCCAGUCAGUCAGUCAGUCAGUACGUUGGCAGGUGGGUGGAUGAGGCCAGCUGGGAUGAGGAAAGAGGAAAGGCCUCGCUCGGACUCGGAGGCAAGCCUGGACUUUGCCGAGGAGUCCCUGGGCCGCCCACUCGAUAGGAAACAGACGAGGCUUUUUUGCCUUUGGGGAGGUGGGGCCCGCAGUCUGACGCGGCACCUGAGGAGAAAGAACUGGAAGCGGGUAGUCGGGUGGGCCUAAGCGGCCUCCUUCGCUCGAGCGGGGGAGUCGUGGUAAAUGAAGAAUUGCCGCCCCCUCGCGAGUGAGGAGCCUUGAAAAUGGUGCGAACUUAUAAACCUAAGACUGAUAGAGGAAGUAUCGAUGAGGAGAACAUAAAGACUGCUAUAUCUGAAGUUAAUCAAAGAGAUUGUCUAUAUGGAGGGCAGCUGACAAAUACAGGAUCAAAGCUGCAACUUUGCAACAUCGCAUUGAAAAUUUUCGAAAAACUUCUGAAGAAAAUGAAGCGUCAUCUUCUAAUAUAUAUGGGUCCAAGUACACUGUUGCACAGGUUUUCUCAACUGAACAAGAGAAAGUGUUUACUGAAUAUUUAUUGAACUGUAGUUAAAUGCACUACAGGCUGUCUUUGUUUUGGCUUAUGAAUAUGCAGAAUAUUUGGGGUGUAGAUAUCCGGAAUUUGGGGUGUAGAUAUCCGGAAUCCUGGGGGGAAAAAAGAUGUGCUGGGAAAGAUUGGGCAGCAGGAUUUAGAAAGAGGAAUCGGGAUCGAAGCCCCAGAAAGCCAGAAAAUAUGAGUGCAACACGAAGUCUUGUGUUCAAUAAAACUGCAGUCACUGAUUUUUUUUUGACAAUUAUGAAUGAGUAAUGACGCACUACAAAUUUACGCCUGAUGAUUUCGCACCAAUGCAAAUGUUAGAUUCAAGUCCUCAAGAUAUUGCCGAUGUUACGGAUGUGACAAAUGAAGGAAAUACAAAAGAGCUAGGUUUUGUGGACAUGGAUAUUAGCCAAAAUGAUGAGGUUCCCAAAAACUCUGAAGACAACGAGAUACCAGUUGUUGAAGCCAACCCCCUUGGGAACCGAUUGGAAGAGGAUGUAACAUCUCCUAAGGUCGUUCUGCCAGGCUCUACACCAAUAUUGUCCCCUGAAGUAGUUAGACCAUAUAUAAAAAAGUCAUUGGUAAAAGUACUUCCUCCUCGAAGAGUGGACGAGAGAAAGGAAAUCGAGAGUCUUCACUGAUACGCCCAAAAAAGAUAGAUUAUGUAUAGACUGAUGUAAAGAGGUACAUCAGUGAGAAAGAUAUCCCUCUUGAGAACAUUCUGGACUGUGCUACUCAUGGUCUGCUUCUAUGACACGUAGAUACAGAGGAUUUAUUGCAUAUUUUAAAGGUGUGGCAGAAGUAUUCUAUAUUCACUACGUAGUUCACCGACAACACUUGGUUUCAAGAUCGCUAGCAGGGUGCUUGCAUGAGUCUACAAAUUUUAAUAAAAGCAGUAAAUUACGUUAAAUCAAAUGCACUUCAAGAUCACCUGUGAAUUAUUUACUCAGCCUAGCGCAGAAUUGCCUUAACAUAACGAACAGAGGUGAUCUUGGUUAUCCCUCACAGCAAUAGAACUGAAUAUUAAAAAGUUUGUUUCUGGUCAUCAAACACAAGGGUCACAUUGACUGAGAAAUACUUAAAGUAUACAUUUUUAUGUAAUAUUUUGUAUUAUAAAUAAAACAUGUUCUAUUUACAAAUAAAACAUUUGAAUAGCUA